Molecule: ribosomal RNA, 253 nt
Filed under: uncultured bacterium
Lineage: Bacteria
Description: partial 16S ribosomal RNA
Rfam family: Bacterial small subunit ribosomal RNA
Source: RNAcentral
UACGUAGGUGGCAAGCGUUGUCCGGAAUUAUUGGGCGUAAAGCGCGCGCAGGUGGUUUCUUAAGUCUGAUGUGAAAGCCCACGGCUCAACCGUGGAGGGUCAUUGGAAACUGGGGAACUUGAGUGCAGAAGAGGAAAGUGGAAUUCCGAGUGUAGCGGUGAAAUGCGUAGAGAUUUGGAGGAACACCAGUGGCGAAGGCGACUUUCUGGUCUGUAACUGACACUGAGGCGCGAAAGCGUGGGGAGCGAACAGG